AUUGAACGCUGGCGGCAUGAUUUACACAUGCAAGUCGAACGGUAACAGGCCGCAAGGUGCUGACGAGUGGCGAACGGGUGAGUAAUGCAUCGGAACGUGCCCAGUCGUGGGGGAUAACUACUCGAAAGAGUAGCUAAUACCGCAUACGAUCUAUGGAUGAAAGCGGGGGACCGUAAGGCCUCGCGCGAUUGGAGCGGCCGAUGUCAGAUUAGGUAGUUGGUGGGGUAAAGGCUCACCAAGCCAACGAUCUGUAGCUGGUCUGAGAGGACGACCAGCCACAUGGGGACUGAGACACGGCCCAGACUCCGGCGGGAGGGAGCGGGGGGGAAUGUGGGACAAGGGGCGCAAGCCUGACCCAGCAAUGCCGCGAGAAGAAAGGAGGCUUUGGGGUUGUAAACUGCUUUGGCACGAAACAAAACGGUUUUGGUAAAUCCCCGGGGAAAAUGACGGAACGGAAAGAAAAAGCCCCGGCUAACUCCGCC
Molecule: ribosomal RNA, 482 nt
Filed under: uncultured bacterium
Lineage: Bacteria
Description: partial 16S ribosomal RNA
Rfam family: Bacterial small subunit ribosomal RNA
Source: RNAcentral